This is a non-coding RNA of Myotis lucifugus (little brown bat), 75 nucleotides long. NCBI's taxonomy places the organism in Eukaryota, Metazoa, Chordata, Mammalia, Chiroptera, Vespertilionidae. The record is from Rfam.
GGUGGUUCUCGGGUGACACACCCUGGAAUCAGGCUCCCUCCUCUCUGGUUCAGAGUGUGUCACCUGAGAACUGCG